AGUGAACGCUGGCGGCGUGCUUAACACAUGCAAGUCGAACGAGAACGGGUUAUAGCUUGCUAUAAUUGUCAGCUAAGUGGCGCACGGGUGAGUAAUGUAUAGGUAAUAUGCCUCUUACUAAGGGAUAACAAAUGGAAACGUUUGCUAAUACCUUAUACUCCUUAUUAACAUAAGUUAAUAAGGGAAAGAUCUAUUGUGUAAGAGAUUAGCCUGUAUUGUAUCAGUUAGUUGGUGGGGUAAUGGCUUACCAAGACUAUGACACAUAACUGGUUUGAGAGGAUGAUCAGUCAGCCUGGAACUGAGACACGGUACAGACUCCUACGGGAGGCAGCAGGGGGUAAUAUUGCACAAUGGACGAAAGUCUGAUGCAGCAACGCCGCGUGGAGGAUGACACAUUUCGGUGCGUAAACUCCUUUUAUAUGAGAAGAUAAUGACGGUAUUAUAUGAAUAAGCACCGGCUAACUCCGUGCCAGCAGCCGCCGCCG
RNAcentral lists this ribosomal RNA (485 nucleotides) under uncultured bacterium. Its description in RNAcentral is "partial 16S ribosomal RNA". It matches the Rfam family "Bacterial small subunit ribosomal RNA", at positions 29 to 523 of the family's 1533-position model. The record is from RNAcentral.